GUGCUCGCUUCAGCAGCCCAUCUACUAAAAUUGGAACGAUACAGAGAAGAAUAGCAGGCCCCUGCGCAAGGAUGACACGCAAAUUUAAAUAUGGAAGUGUUCCAUAAUAAU
Molecule: small nuclear RNA, 111 nt
Organism: Myotis lucifugus (little brown bat)
Lineage: Eukaryota; Metazoa; Chordata; Mammalia; Chiroptera; Vespertilionidae
Source: Ensembl